AAUUUUUUCAAAAAAGAAUACUAAAGUGACGGUCGCCAAAUCAACAGUAGACAAUCAACAAUUCAAGCCGCAAUUCCUUUUCCUGCCUGUGCCUGCCAACGCAUUACCGUCCAUCCCCUCUCUCUGUCUAAUCAUCUCUUUUUUCUUCUUCCUGAAAACGCUUGGAAGAAGCAAAAUAUUGCACGCCACUCUCUUCAAGUAUACUUUCUGAUCGGUGGUGCAUGCACACAAACAUCAAUUAUACACCAACUCAUGCAAGCACACCCUUCAAAUUCUAAGCAUAAAGAGGCUAGUUUUCCAAUUUUCUGAAACUCCUUUCAGCGUAUGAAGAUUUCUAGUCUUUAUCACUUCAUUUUCCCCUUGAACAAAAUUUAAACAUUCACAGGUAUGAGUGUGCGUUUAUUCGGCAUAUGAUACCACCCUUCUGCAUCCCCUUCCAGUUGGCAAAUGAAGAGACCAAACCUGAGCCUUUGAACCCCCAGGUAAUGCUAGAUCUGGGAUUUUAUAGAAUAUCAUAUAAUAUAUGGUGUUCCUCCCAAUAACAAUUACCAAGAAACGCGUUAGACUACUUGUUUACAUUUCGCUUGAUGACAAUGAAGGAGCAAUACAACUUCAAAAACCAUUUUAAAA
RNAcentral lists this unclassified non-coding RNA (630 nucleotides) under Hevea brasiliensis (rubber tree). Lineage: Eukaryota; Viridiplantae; Streptophyta; Magnoliopsida; Malpighiales; Euphorbiaceae. The record is from RNAcentral.